This 490-nucleotide ribosomal RNA is filed under the name uncultured bacterium. RNAcentral describes it as "partial 16S ribosomal RNA". It matches the Rfam family "Bacterial small subunit ribosomal RNA", at positions 30 to 507 of the family's 1533-position model. The record is from RNAcentral.
AUUGAACGCUGGCGGCAGGCCUAACACAUGCAAGUCGAACGGUAACAGGAAACAGCUUGCUGUUUCGCUGACGAGUGGCGGACGGGUGAGUAAUGUCUGGGAAACUGCCUGAUGGAGGGGGAUAACUACUGGAAACGGUAGCUAAUACCGCAUAACGUCGCAAGACCAAAGAGGGGGACCCUCGGGCCUCUUGCCAUCGGAUGUGCCCAGAUGGGAUUAGCUUGUUGGUGGGGUAACGGCUCACCAAGGCGACGAUCCCUAGCUGGUCUGAGAGGAUGACCAGCCACACUGGAACUGAGACACGGUCCAGACUCCUACGGGAGGCAGCAGUGGGGAAUAUUGCACAAUGGACGCAAGCCUGAUGCAGCCAUGCCGCGUGUAUGAAGAAGGCCUUCGGGUUGUAAAGUACUUUCAGCGGGGAGGAAGGGAGUAAAGUUAAUACCUUUGCUCUUUGACGUUACCCGCAGAAGAAGCACCGGCUAACUCCGUG